RNAcentral lists this ribosomal RNA (427 nucleotides) under uncultured prokaryote. RNAcentral's name for it is "bacterial SSU rRNA". It matches the Rfam family "Bacterial small subunit ribosomal RNA", at positions 355 to 796 of the family's 1533-position model. The record is from RNAcentral.
UGGGGAAUUUUCCGCAAUGGGCGAAAGCCUGACGGAGCAAUACCGCGUGAGGGAGGAAGGCUUUUGGGUUGUAAACCUCUUUUAUUAAGGAAGAAGAAAGUGACUGUACUUAAAGAAUCAGCAUCGGCUAACUCCGUGCCAGCAGCCGCGGUAAUACGGAGGAUGCAAGCGUUAUCCGGAAUCAUUGGGCGUAAAGCGUCCGCAGGUGGCUAAUCAAGUCUGCUGUUAAAGACGGAAGCUUAACUUCUGAAAAGCAGUGGAAACUGGUAAGCUAGAGUACGGUAGGGGUUGAGGGAAUUCCCAGUGUAGCGGUGAAAUGCGUAGAUAUUGGGAAGAACACCAGUGGCGAAGGCGCUCAACUGGGCCGUAACUGACACUCAGGGACGAAAGCUAGGGUAGCGAAAGGGAUUAGAUACCCCCGUAGUCC